RNAcentral lists this ribosomal RNA (380 nucleotides) under Nostoc sp. AECC1008. RNAcentral describes it as "bacterial SSU rRNA". It matches the Rfam family "Bacterial small subunit ribosomal RNA", at positions 376 to 770 of the family's 1533-position model. Lineage: Bacteria; Bacillati; Cyanobacteriota; Cyanophyceae; Nostocales; Nostocaceae. RNAcentral also lists the same sequence under 1 other name. The record is from RNAcentral.
CGAAAGCCUGACGGAGCAAUACCGCGUGAGGGAGGAAGGCUCUUGGGUCGUAAACCUCUUUUCUCAGGGAAGAACACAAUGACGGUACCUGAGGAAUAAGCAUCGGCUAACUCCGUGCCAGCAGCCGCGGUAAUACGGAGGAUGCAAGCGUUAUCCGGAAUGAUUGGGCGUAAAGCGUCCGCAGGUGGCUGUGUAAGUCUGCUGUUAAAGAGUCUAGCUCAACUAGAUAAGAGCAGUGGAAACUACAUAGCUAGAGUACGUUCGGGGCAGAGGGAAUUCCUGGUGUAGCGGUGAAAUGCGUAGAGAUCAGGAAGAACACCAGUGGCGAAGGCGCUCUGCUAGGCCGUAACUGACACUGAGGGACGAAAGCUAGGGGAGCG